Molecule: ribosomal RNA, 425 nt
Filed under: uncultured Desulfovibrionaceae bacterium
Lineage: Bacteria; Pseudomonadati; Thermodesulfobacteriota; Desulfovibrionia; Desulfovibrionales; Desulfovibrionaceae
Description: bacterial SSU rRNA
Rfam family: Bacterial small subunit ribosomal RNA
Source: RNAcentral
GGGGAAUAUUGCGCAAUGGGCGAAAGCCUGACGCAGCGACGCCGCGUGAGGGAUGAAGGUUCUCGGAUCGUAAACGUCUGUCAGCAGGGAAGAAACCGCAGCGUGCUAAACAGCGGUGCACUGACGGUACCUUCAACGCAAGCACCGACUAACUCCGUGCCAGCAGCCGCGGUAAUCGGAGGGUGCAAGCGUUAAUCGGAAUUACUGGGCGUAAAGCGCACGUAGGCUGCUUUGUAAGUCAGGGGUGAAAUCCCACGGCUCAACCGUGGAACUGCCUUUGAUACUGCUUAGCUUGAAUCCGGGAGAGGCUGGCGGAAUUCCAGGUGUACGAGUGAAAUCCGUAGAUAUCUGGAGGAACAUCAGUGGCGAAGGCGGCCACCUGGACCGGUAUUGACGCUGAGGUGCGAAAGCUUGGGGAGCAAACA